AAGUAAGUCCAUGUGGAACAUGUAGACUCCUACGGGAGGCAGCAGUGGGGAAUUUUGGACAAUGGGCGAAAGCCUGAUCCAGCAAUGCCGCGUGUGUGAAGAAGGCCUCGGGUUGUAAAGCACUUUUGUCCGGAAAGAAAUCCUUGGCUCUAAUACAGUCGGGGGAUGACGGUACCGGAAGAAUAAGCACCGGCUAACUACGUGCCAGCAGCCGCGGUAAUACGUAGGGUGCAAGCGUUAAUCGGAAUUACUGGGCGUAAAGCGUGCGCAGGCGGUUUGCUAAGACCGUGUGAAAUCCCCGGGCUCAACCUGGGAACUGCAUUGGUGACUGGCAGGCUAGAUUAUGGCAGAGGGGGGUAGAAUUCCACGUGUAGCAAUGAAAUGCGUAGAGAUGUGGAGGAAACCGAUGGCGAAGGCAGCCCCCUGGGCCAUACUGACGCUCAUGCACGAAAGCGUGGGGAGCAAACAGGAUUAGAUACACUGGUAGUCCACGCCCUAAACGAUGUCAACUAGUUUUGGGGAUUCAUUUCCUUAGUAACAUAGCUAACGCGUGAAGUUGACCGCCUGGGGAGUACGGUCGCAAGAUUAAAACUCAAAGGAAUUGACGGGGACCCGCACAAGCGGUGGAUGAUGUGGAUUAAUUCGAUGCACCGCGAAAAACCUUACCUACCCUUGACAUGGUCGGAAUCCUGCUGAGAGGUGGGAGUGCUCGAAAGAGAACCGCGCACAGGUGCUGCAUGGCUGUCGUCAGCUCGUGUCGUGAGAUGUUGGGUUAAGUCCCGCAACGAGCGCAACCCUUGUCCUUAGUUGCUACGCAAGAGCACUCUAAGGAGACUGCCGGUGACAAACCGGAGGAAGGUGGGGAUGACGUCAAGUCCUCAUGGCCCGGACUUCUGAAUGCGGCAUUACCCAGUAGAUUC
Molecule: ribosomal RNA, 920 nt
Filed under: Burkholderia cepacia
Lineage: Bacteria; Pseudomonadati; Pseudomonadota; Betaproteobacteria; Burkholderiales; Burkholderiaceae
Description: bacterial SSU rRNA
Rfam family: Bacterial small subunit ribosomal RNA
Source: RNAcentral